RNAcentral lists this ribosomal RNA (244 nucleotides) under uncultured bacterium. Its description in RNAcentral is "partial 16S ribosomal RNA". It matches the Rfam family "Bacterial small subunit ribosomal RNA", at positions 529 to 772 of the family's 1533-position model. The record is from RNAcentral.
AUGUCGCAAGCGUUAUCCGGAUUUAUUGGGUGUAAAGGGAGCGUAGACGGCAUGGCAAGCCAGCUGUGAAAGCCCGGGGCUCAACCCCGGGACUGCAUUUGGAACUGUCAGGCUAGAGUGUCGGAGAGGUAAGCGGAAUUCCUAGUGUAGCGGUGAAAUGCGGAGAUAUUAGGAGGAACACCGGUGGCGAAGGCGGCUUACUGGACGAUGACUGACGUUGAGGCUCGAAAGCGUGGGGAGCAAA